GGUCAAGCUAAUAAGAGCAUAGGGCGAAUGCCUUGGCACCAGAAGCCGAUGAAGGACGGGGUAAGCACCGAUAUGCUUCGGGGAGCUGCAAACAAGCUUUGAUCCGAGGAUCUCCGAAUGGGGAAACCCACCUAGAUUUUCUAGGUAUCAUCUACUGAAUACAUAGGUAGAUGAAGGGAUACCAGGGGAACUGAAACAUCUAAGUACCCUGAGGAAAAGAAAGAAAACUCGAUUUCCUAAGUAGCGGCGAGCGAAAGGGAAACAGCCUAAACCUAUUGAGUUUACUCUUUAGGGGUUGUGGACCAGCAUUUAAUAAGUUCUUCUUGUAACUGAAUGACCUGGAAAGGUCAACCGUAGAAGGUGAUAGUCCUGUAAGUGAAACUAGUUGACUUAUUGCUGGUAUCCGAAGUACCAUGGGGCACGUGAAAUCCUGUGGGAAGCUGGGAGGACCAUCUCCCAAGGCUAAAUACUAACUGGUGACCGAUAGUGAACAAGUACCGUGAGGGAAAGGUGAAAAGAACCCCGGAAGGGGAGUGAAAUAGAAUCUGAAACCCUAUGUUUACAAGCAGUGGAAGCACUUUAUAUGUGCGACCGCGUACUUUUUGUAGAACGGGCCAGCGAGUUACGAUAUAUAGCAAGGUUAAACUUUUUUAAAGUGAAGCCGUAGGGAAACCAAGUCUCAAUAGGGCGUUUAGUUGUAUGUCGUAGACCCGAAACCGGGUGACCUACCCAUGAGCAGAGCGAAACGAAAGUAAAAUUUCGUGGAGGCUCGAACCGUUUAGUGUUGAAAAACUAUCGGAUGACUUGUGGGUAGCGGUGAAAUUCCAAUCGAACCCGGAUAUAGCUGGUUCUCCUCGAAAUAGCUUUAGGGCUAGCCUCAAGAUAGUGACGUGGAGGUAGAGCACUGAAUGGUCUAGGGGCACUUAGUGCUACCAAAACCUAUCAAACUCCGAAUGCCACAGUCAUGUUUCUUGGGAGUCAGACUGCGGGAGAUAAGUUUCGUAGUCGAGAGGGAAAGAGCCCAGACCACCAACUAAGGUCCCUAAAUCCAGAUUAAGUGGGAAAGGAUGUAAAGUUACACAGACAACCAGGAUGUUGGCUUAGAAGCAGCCAUUCAUUUAAAGAGUGCGUAAUAGCUCACUGGUCGAGUGGCUUUGCGCCGAAGAUUUCCGGGGCUAAAAUCUGGUACCGAAGUUGUGGAUUCGUAAGAAUGGUAGAGGAGCAUUCUGUACGGGCUGAAGCUACACCGUAAGGAGUGGUGGACUGUACAGAAGAGAGAAUGCUGGCAUGAGUAGCGAUAAGGCGAGUGAGAAUCUCGCCCGUCGAAAGCCUAAGGUUUCCUGAGGAAGGCUCGUCCUCUCAGGGUUAGUCGGGACCUAAGCCCAGGCCAAAUGGCGUAGGCGAUGGACAACAGGUUGAGAUUCCUGUACUGUUUACAUGCGUUUGAGAGAUGGGGUGACGCAGGAGGAUAGGCUAUACGUACUGUUGGUUAUGUACGUCCAAUCCUGUAGAGAGCUCCUAUAGGCAAAUCCGUAGGAGAGUCUCAAGAGGUGAUGGGGAGCGAAAAAUAAGUAGUGAAGUAGCUGAAUCCAUACUGCCAAGAAAAGCCUCUAUCGAGUAUGUAAAUACCCGUACCGCAAACCAACACAGGUAGGCGAGGAGAAAAUCCUAAGACGUUCGGAAGAACCCUUGUUAAGGAACUAGGCAAAAUAACCCCGUAACUUCGGGAGAAGGGGUGCCGACUAAGGUGAAGCACUUGCUGCGUAAGCUUUAGUUGGCCGCAGUGAAUAGGCCCAAGCGACUGUUUACCAAAAACAUAGGUCUCUGCUAAGUCGAAAGACGAUGUAUAGGGGCUGACACCUGCCCGGUGCUGGAAGGUUAAGGGGAAGAGUUAGCGUAUGCGAAGCUCAGAACUUAAGCCCCAGUAAACGGCGGCCGUAACUAUAACGGUCCUAAGGUAGCG
This 1963-nucleotide ribosomal RNA is filed under the name Anaerosalibacter bizertensis. RNAcentral's name for it is "partial 23S ribosomal RNA". It matches the Rfam family "Bacterial large subunit ribosomal RNA", at positions 1 to 1961 of the family's 2925-position model. Lineage: Bacteria; Bacillati; Bacillota; Tissierellia; Tissierellales; Sporanaerobacteraceae. The record is from RNAcentral.